This 303-nucleotide ribosomal RNA is filed under the name uncultured bacterium. RNAcentral's name for it is "partial 16S ribosomal RNA". It matches the Rfam family "Bacterial small subunit ribosomal RNA", at positions 507 to 809 of the family's 1533-position model. The record is from RNAcentral.
AGCAGUAGCCGCGGUAAUACGUAGGUGGCAAGCGUUGUCCGGAAUUAUUGGGCGUAAAGCGCGCGCAGGCGGAUAGGUCAGUCUGUCUUAAAAGUUCGGGGCUUAACCCCGUGAUGAGAUGGAAACUGCCAAUCUAGAGUAUCGGAGAGGAAAGUGGAAUUCCUAGUGUAGCGGUGAAAUGCGUAGGUAUUAGGAAGAACACCAGUGGCGAAGGCGACUUUCUGGACGAAAACUGACGCUGAGGCGCGAAAGCCAGGGGAGCGAACGGGAUUAGAGACCCCAGUAGUCCCUGUCUCUUAUACA